This 253-nucleotide ribosomal RNA is filed under the name uncultured bacterium. RNAcentral describes it as "partial 16S ribosomal RNA". It matches the Rfam family "Bacterial small subunit ribosomal RNA", at positions 524 to 776 of the family's 1533-position model. The record is from RNAcentral.
UACGUAGGGUGCGAGCGUUAUCCGGAAUUAUUGGGCGUAAAGGGCUCGUAGGCGGUUUGUCGCGUCGGGAGUGAAAACGCCGUGCUUAACACGGCGCUUGCUUUCGAUACGGGCAGACUAGAGGUAUGCAGGGGAGAACGGAAUUCCUGGUGUAGCGGUGAAAUGCGCAGAUAUCAGGAGGAACACCGAUGGCGAAGGCAGGUCUCUGGGCAUUAACUGACGCUGAGGAGCGAAAGCAUGGGGAGCGAACAGG